CGGGAUUCCCUUAGUAACGGCGAGCGAACAGGGAAGAGCCCAGAAUGUAAAUCUCCGGCCCUCGGCCGGCGAAUUGUAGUCUGGAGAAGCGUUCCCUGGGCAGCCCCCGGCCGAAGUAUCCUGGAAGGGAUCGCCCGAGAGGGUGAGAGCCCCGUAGGCCGGUGGGAUGAUGCCCUUCACGGGUCGCUUUCGCAGAGUCGGGUUGUUUGGGAAUGCAGCCCUAAUCGGGUGGUAAACCCCAUCUAAGGCUAAAUAUCGAUGGGAGACCGAUAGCGAAAAAGUACCUCGAGGGAACGAUGAAAAGACCGCUGGCAAGCGAGUAAAAGAGUGCAUGAAAUUGCGUAGUGGGAAGGGAUGGCCCGGCAGCGUGCGCCUGGGCUUAGGCGGCUCUUGGAGCCGCUGGUAUGCAUCAGGUGCUGGCUGGCACCGGCUGCCCCGCCUGUACAACCCCCGGCUAAGGUGCCGGGCACUGCAGGCGGGGCGGCCGAGGUCCCCACACCAUCGUGGCUCCGCCCCCUUGCUCUUGCUUGGGGAGCUGCCUCGACACGGUGCCAGCUGAAGCCGGUCCAUCCG
Molecule: ribosomal RNA, 573 nt
Filed under: Pseudocladophora horii
Lineage: Eukaryota; Viridiplantae; Chlorophyta; Ulvophyceae; Cladophorales; Pseudocladophoraceae
Description: eukaryotic LSU rRNA
Rfam family: Eukaryotic large subunit ribosomal RNA
Source: RNAcentral